Molecule: non-coding RNA, 932 nt
Organism: Nicotiana tabacum (common tobacco)
Lineage: Eukaryota; Viridiplantae; Streptophyta; Magnoliopsida; Solanales; Solanaceae
Source: RefSeq, a predicted model, not a curated record
UGAAUUUUCUCUUCCAGAAAUAUAAGGUGGAAUAAGCUGCAAGAUGUCAUUCCUCCUGAUAUUGGUGAACUAAAGCAGCUAACACAUUUCUACCUGAGUUUUAAUAAUAUUAAAGGCGAAAUCCCCAAGGAGCUUGCUAAUCUCCCAGAGCUGCGUUAUCUCCAUCUGCAUGAAAAUCAUUUUGCUGGACGAAUUCCACCUGAGUUGGGCACUUUGCAGUAUCUUCGGCACCUCUAACUUGAUCGAAGAUGUGCUAAUAAAGGGACUUCUCAUCUUGCCACUUAGACUUGCAGUUACUUAAAUAAUAAUUAUCUUACUGGUGGCAUUCCAGCACAGCUUGCAAAUUUGACGAACUUGAAGAUCUUAUACCUAUCCUACAACAAGAUGGCUGGAGUUAUACCGGCUAGCAUUGCUCAUAUUCCAAAGUAAACUUGUUAGUCUUCCUCUCUAUAGUUUUAUCUACUCUCUUAACUCUUUUGCUUAUGACAUUACAACAGUUCCUUUCAUGAAUGCCAUCAAGGGUCUUUCUUAAAUUCUUUCUUAAGGAUAUGAAGAUUUUUUUUAGCUUAAGAACACUUCGGCAUACUUGUUGUUAGAUGCACAUGGAGCUAGCUCGUCCGACCUUAUUGUACUUUAUUCCUUACCAUUUAUUGAUGUGUAACAACUAGCAGAAAAGGGUUUAGCAUAAGAAUGUUCACAUCCUAGUAGGUUUAAAUUUAUGCAGAAUAACACAAACCAUUGGUUGUUGGACUUCUUAUCGACUAAAGAUUUUCUUGAUCUAUGUAGCAACAACAUAGGACUAAUACAGAAGACUCAUUUGCCACAUGGUACAUUUUGUACCUCUACUUCAAUUAUUGUCAACUUUAUGGGUUGCCUAUAUGUGAUGACUCAAAAUGUCAUCUUUAAAUUUAAUAAGUAAUUCUAUGCUCUAA